This 424-nucleotide ribosomal RNA is filed under the name uncultured bacterium. RNAcentral describes it as "bacterial SSU rRNA". It matches the Rfam family "Bacterial small subunit ribosomal RNA", at positions 917 to 1344 of the family's 1533-position model. The record is from RNAcentral.
GGGCCCGCACAAGCGGUGGAGCAUGUGGUUUAAUUCGAUGAUACGCGAGGAACCUUACCAGGGUUUAAAUGUAGAAUGACCGGGGUGGAAACACCCCUUUCUUCGGACAGACUACAAGGUGCUGCAUGGUUGUCGUCAGCUCGUGCUGUGAAGUGUCGGGUUAAGUCCCAUAACGAGCGCAACCCCCCAUUUCUAGUUGCCAGCGGUUCGGCCGGGGACUCUAGAGAAACUGCCAGCGUAAGCUGUGAGGAAGGUGGGGAUGACGUCAAAUCAUCACGGCCCUUACAUCCUGGGCCACACACGUGCUACAAUGGUAGGGACAACAGGUUGCCAACCCGCGAGGGUGAGCCAAUCCCAAAACCCUAUCUCAGUUCGGAUCGGAGUCUGCAACUCGACUCCGUGAAGUUGGAAUCGCUAGUAAUCG